UACGUAUGGGGCAAGCGUUAUCCGGAUUUACUGGGUGUAAAGGGAGCGCAGGCGGCCUGGCAAGCCUGAUGUGAAAUACCGGGGCCCAAUCCCGGGGCUGCAUUGGGAACUGCCAGGCUGGAGUGCCGGAGAGGCAGGCGGAAUUCCUAGUGUAGCGGUGAAAUGCGUAGAUAUUAGGAGGAACACCAGUGGCGAAGGCGGCCUGCUGGACGGUGACUGACGCUGAGGCUCGAAAGCGUGGGGGGCAAACAGG
Molecule: ribosomal RNA, 253 nt
Filed under: uncultured bacterium
Lineage: Bacteria
Description: partial 16S ribosomal RNA
Rfam family: Bacterial small subunit ribosomal RNA
Source: RNAcentral